UAGGGGAGGCGUAGCGAAAGCGAGUCUGAUAAGGGCGCUUUAGUUGCAGGGCGUAGACCCGAAACCAGAUGAUCUACCCAUGGCCAGGAUGAAGGUGCCGUAACAGGUACUGGAGGUCCGAACCACUAAUGUUGAAAAAUUAGGGGAUGAGCUGUGGGUAGGGGUGAAAGGCUAAACAAAUCUGGAAAUAGCUGGUUCUCCCCGAAAGCUAUUUAGGUAGCGCCUCAUGUAUCACUCGCGGGGGUAGAGCACUGUAAUGGUUGGAGGGGUCAUUGCGAUCUACUCCGCCAUAGCAAACUCCGAAUACCGCGAAGUGCGAGCAUGGGAGACAGACGGUGGGUGCUAACGUCCAUCGUCAAGAGGGAAACAACCCAGACCGCCAGCUAAGGUCCCCAAGCCAUGGUUAAGUGGAAAACGAAGUGGGAAGGCAUAGACAGUCAGGAAGUUGGCUUAGAAGCAGCCAUCCUUCAAAGAAAGCGUAAUAGCUCACUGAUCGAGUCGUCCUGCGCGGAAGAUGUAACGGGGGG
RNAcentral lists this ribosomal RNA (527 nucleotides) under uncultured bacterium. Its description in RNAcentral is "bacterial LSU rRNA". It matches the Rfam family "Bacterial large subunit ribosomal RNA", at positions 658 to 1182 of the family's 2925-position model. The record is from RNAcentral.